Camelus ferus (Wild Bactrian camel) is the source of this 72-nucleotide transfer RNA. It matches the Rfam family "tRNA". Rfam says of the family: Transfer RNA (tRNA) molecules are approximately 80 nucleotides in length. Their secondary structure includes four short double-helical elements and three loops (D, anti-codon, and T loops). The record is from Rfam. Lineage: Eukaryota; Metazoa; Chordata; Mammalia; Artiodactyla; Camelidae.
GAGGGAAUAGCUCAGUGGUAGAGUGAGGGCUUAGCAUGCACAAGGUCCUGGGUUCAAUCCCUAGUAUCUCCA